Molecule: transfer RNA, 89 nt
Filed under: Actinomadura nitritigenes
Lineage: Bacteria; Bacillati; Actinomycetota; Actinomycetes; Streptosporangiales; Thermomonosporaceae
Also listed under: 1 other name
Description: tRNA-Pro
Source: RNAcentral
CCGCGCGCUGGCGGAGGGCGCGCUGGACGCCGGGAUCGUCCGGCACCCGUGCGACUCGCGCGGCCUCGGGCUCGGCCCGAUGCUGGGGC